UUCUUUAAGACUCUCAAUAAUUUAAAGUAAAACCUGCUCCAUGAAACUUAAAUAGCCGCAGAAUUCUGUGCUAAGGUAGCAUAAUCACUAGCUUUUUAAUUAAAAGAUAGAAUGAAUGGUUAAACGAAAUACUCUCUGUUUCUAAAUUUUAUAAUGAAAUUAUAUAAAAAGUAAAAAUUCUUUUAAAAAUUAGAAAGACGAUAAGACCCUAAAAACUAAUAUUAUUUAGCUGGGGCGGCAAUUUAAAAAAACCUUAAUAUUUUUAAAAACAAAUCAAGUAAAAUUAAUUAAGAAAAGUUACUUUAGGGAUAACAGCGCUACUUUUUUUUAAAGAUCUAAUAAAAAAAAAUCCUACGACCUCGAUGUUGAAUUAUAAAUCUAUUUGAAGCAAAAAUCAAAUAAGAAAGUCUGUUCGACUUAAAACUAUAU
This 429-nucleotide ribosomal RNA is filed under the name Litoporus sp. Br16-62. Its description in RNAcentral is "partial 16S ribosomal RNA". The record is from RNAcentral. Lineage: Eukaryota; Metazoa; Arthropoda; Arachnida; Araneae; Pholcidae.